Molecule: long non-coding RNA, 1084 nt
Filed under: Papio anubis (olive baboon)
Lineage: Eukaryota; Metazoa; Chordata; Mammalia; Primates; Cercopithecidae
Description: lncRNA (ENSPANG00000045055.1)
Source: RNAcentral
GUACAUUUCUACUGUGAGUGUAUACUUAAAAGAAUAAUUGCUAAGUAAAGCAUUAUUUAUAUAGUCAACCUCAGUAGACACUCCUAAAGAGUUGUCCAAACAGCUUACAUUCUAAAUAGCAUUAUAUAAGAGUUCUAGUUACUCCAUAUCCUUCCUAAAGUUUUGUGUUGUCUUUUCAGUUCCUUGUUUUUUUUUUUUAGUGUUGGGUCCUAUUUGAAAGCAGUUUUAAUUGUCAUAUAUCUUAUGAUUAAUGAUAAUUUGCAAUUUUUAGAUACCAAUUUGCCAUUUGAAUAUCUAAGUUUGUAAAGGAUCUGUUCAAAUAUUUUUCAAUUUUUAUACUGAGUCGUUUGCCCUUUUCUUAAUGAUAUGCAGCAUUUCUUAUAUAUUCUGGCUCUAAGCUAUUUGUCAGAUGAAUUAUUUGACUUUUUUGUAUAUGUAUCUGUAUAAACAUAUAAUUACAAGUACUUUAUUUUACUCUGCAGUUUGCAUUUAUAUUCUUUUAAUGUUAUCUUUGAUGAGUGGACAUUUAAGUCAUAGCUCCACUGGUUGUUAUACAAUCCUGCCAGUAGUACUUUUUUUAAAAAAAAAAGUUAUGGUUUUUUGUUAUUUUAGAGUGAUGAUGUUAUUUUAAAACCAGUUACUACACUUUUGCUAGAAGUUAAAUAAACUUAUUUCUCUUUACACAAAUCAAGAGUGUAUAUGAGAUACGUGUAUAUAAAGAUAAUUUGCAUUACUUAAAAUUUACUCUGUUAGUCAUGUUAAAUUAUAAAACUCAGUGAUGUUUAAUAUAUAUUCACAAUGUUAUAACACUAUCUCUACUAAUUCCAGACCAUUUUUAUUAAUCCUACCCUUCAAGAUUCCAUACCUAUUAAACAAUCACUUACUAUCUUUCCUCCACAUGCUUAUAUUUAUAGCAAUGUUAUGCAUCAUAGCCACAACUUGGGAUCAACAAAGGUGUCCUUCAAAGAUAAAUAGAAUGGGCCAGGAGCAGUGGUUUAUACCUAUAAUACUAGCACUUUGGAAGGUGGAUCCUGGAGAAUUGCUUGAGGCCAGAAGAUUUAGACCAGCCUUAGCAACAUGGUAA